RNAcentral lists this small nuclear RNA (163 nucleotides) under Dasypus novemcinctus (nine-banded armadillo). Its description in RNAcentral is "U1 spliceosomal RNA (ENSDNOG00000032159.1)". It matches the Rfam family "U1 spliceosomal RNA". From Rfam's summary of the family: U1 is a small nuclear RNA (snRNA) component of the spliceosome (involved in pre-mRNA splicing). Its 5' end forms complementary base pairs with the 5' splice junction, thus defining the 5' donor site of an intron. Lineage: Eukaryota; Metazoa; Chordata; Mammalia; Cingulata; Dasypodidae. The record is from RNAcentral.
AUACUUACCUGACAGAGGAGAUACCAUGAUCAUGAAAGUGGCUUUCCCAGGGUGAUGCUGAUCCAUUGCACAGGGGAGCUGCUGACCCCUGUGAUUUCCUGACAUGGGGGAAACUCGACUGCCUAAUUUGUGUUGGUGGGGGAUGUGUCUGUGCUUUCCCCUG